This 214-nucleotide ribosomal RNA is filed under the name uncultured bacterium. RNAcentral's name for it is "partial 16S ribosomal RNA". It matches the Rfam family "Bacterial small subunit ribosomal RNA", at positions 324 to 528 of the family's 1533-position model. The record is from RNAcentral.
UUCCUCUAGAGAUUCCUACGGGAGGCAGCAGUGGGGAAUAUUGCACAAUGGAGGAAACUCUGAUGCAGCCAUGCCGCGUGUGUGAAGAAGGCUUUCGGGUUGUAAAGCACUUUCAGCGAGGAGGAAAGGGCGUAGAUUAAUACUCUGCGCCUGUGACGUUACUCGCAGAAGAAGCACCGGCUAACUCCGUGCCAGCAGCCGCGGUAAUAAUCGU